GUACACUCCUGCGGGAGGCAGCAGUGGGGAAUUUUGGACAAUGGGCGAAAGCCUGAUCCAGCCAUGCCGCGUGCAGGAUGAAGGCCUUCGGGUUGUAAACUGCUUUUGUACGGAACGAAACGGCCUUUUCUAAUAAAGAGGGCUAAUGACGGUACCGUAAGAAUAAGCACCGGCUAACUACGUGCCAGCAGCCGCGGUAAUACGUAGGGUGCAAGCGUUAAUCGGAAUUACUGGGCGUAAAGCGUGCGCAGGCGGUUAUGUAAGACAGUUGUGAAAUCCCCGGGCUCAACCUGGGAACUGCAUCUGUGACUGCAUAGCUAGAGUACGGUAGAGGGGGAUGGAAUUCCGCGUGUAGCAGUGAAAUGCGUAGAUAUGCGGAGGAACACCGAUGGCGAAGGCAAUCCCCUGGACCUGUACUGACGCUCAUGCACGAAAGCGUGGGGAGCAAACAGGAUUAGAAACCCGAGUAGUCCCAUG
Molecule: ribosomal RNA, 477 nt
Filed under: uncultured organism
Description: partial 16S ribosomal RNA
Rfam family: Bacterial small subunit ribosomal RNA
Source: RNAcentral